AUGGUGGGUUUUUUUGCUGCUUGUGAGAUAGUAGUCCUUUGUUGCUGUUUAAAAUUUCAGCUAUCAAUGAUCUUCAACUCACGCUUGUGAUGUAUCUACACUGGAUGUUAGCAACUUGAUAGUAUUUUCUGGGAUAGGAUUUUUCACUACUGAGGCUGAGUAAUUCUUGUGUUGCUCAUCACAUAAGAUGCAUGGAGCUGUUCCAGUCACUUGCUGCCUAUGUGACUGCUGGAGCUACCUGGGAGCCAUAAGGCAACUUGAUUGAUUCACGCAGAGACAUGCAGCAAGCACGAGUUAAUAGUUCUGGGCCGAGUCUUGGCGUUCACAUGCUGCUGCCCUUACAUCUGCCACUGUAGCCGGAGGAGAAGGGAGGGAUGGAGGGGUGAGUCACUGCCCAAGGCAUCAUCUAUAGCAUCUUCU
Molecule: long non-coding RNA, 420 nt
Organism: Lagopus muta (rock ptarmigan)
Lineage: Eukaryota; Metazoa; Chordata; Aves; Galliformes; Phasianidae
Exons: 3
Source: RefSeq, a predicted model, not a curated record